This 460-nucleotide ribosomal RNA is filed under the name uncultured bacterium. RNAcentral's name for it is "partial 16S ribosomal RNA". It matches the Rfam family "Bacterial small subunit ribosomal RNA", at positions 338 to 795 of the family's 1533-position model. The record is from RNAcentral.
CCUACGGGUGGCAGCAGUGAGGAAUAUUGGUCAAUGGGCGCGAGCCUGAACCAGCCAAGUAGCGUGAAGGAUGACUGCCCUACGGGUUGUAAACUUCUUUUAUAAAGGAGUAAAGUGAGGCACGUGUGCCUUUUUGUAUGUACUUUAUGAAUAAGGAUCGGCUAACUCCGUGCCAGCAGCCGCGGUAAUACGGAGGAUCCGAGCGUUAUCCGGAUUUAUUGGGUUUAAAGGGAGCGUAGAUGGGUUGUUAAGUCAGUUGUGAAAGUUUGCGGCUCAACCGUAAAAUUGCAAUUGAUACUGGCAGUCUUGAGUACAGUUGAGGGAGGCGGAAUUCGUGGUGUAGCGGUGAAAUGCGUAGAUAUCACGAAGAACUCCGAUUGCGAAGGCAGCUUACUAAACUGCCACUGACAUUGAUGCUCGAAAGUGUGGGGAGCAAACAGGAUUAGAUACCCCAGUAGUC